This 1838-nucleotide non-coding RNA is filed under the name Mycoplasma sp. CAG:611. Its description in RNAcentral is "Bacterial large subunit ribosomal RNA". It matches the Rfam family "Bacterial large subunit ribosomal RNA", at positions 1 to 1736 of the family's 2925-position model. The record is from Rfam by way of RNAcentral. Lineage: Bacteria; Bacillati; Mycoplasmatota; Mollicutes; Mycoplasmatales; Mycoplasmataceae.
GGUUAAAUUAUUAAGAGCGCAUGGCGAAUGCCUUGGCACUAGAAGCUGAUGAAGGACGUGACGAACAACGAUAUGCUUCGGGGAGCUGUAAGUAGCUUUGAUCCGGAGAUUUCCGAAUGGGGAAACCCACUGAUAGUAAUGUGUCAGUAUCAUACAGUGAAUUCAUAGCUGUAUGAGAUGAACCCGGUGAACUGAAACAUCUUAGUAGCCGGAGGAGUAGAAAGAAAAAUCGAUUCCCUUAGUAGUGGCGAGCGAAAGGGGAACAGCCCAAACCAAUCUUCGGAUUGGGGUUGUAGGACUUCUCAUUAAGAGUAAAAAAUUCAUAAUAUAGUUGAAGUAUCUGGAAAGAUAUACCGUAGUAGGUGAUAGUCCUGUAAAUGAAAUAUUAUGAACUCUGAGGAGUAUCCUGAGUAGGGCGGGACACGUGAAACCCUGUCUGAAUCUGCGGGGCCCAUCCCGUAAGGCUAAAUACUCUCUAAUGACCGAUAGUGAACAAGUACCGUGAGGGAAAGGUGAAAAGAACCCCGGGAGGGGAGUGAAAUAGAAUACUGAAACCAUGUGCUUACAAGAAGUCAAAGCCCGUUAAUGGGUGAUGGCGUGCCUUUUGCAGAAUGAACCGGCGAGUUAUUGUUGCAUGCAAGGUUAAGUUGAAGAGACGGAGCCGAAGCGAAAGCGAGUCUGAAUAGGGCGCUUUAGUAUGCAGUAAUAGACCCGAAACCGAGUGAUCUAUCCUUGAGCAGGUUGAAGUGGUGGUAACACACCAUGGAGGACCGAACCGACGUCUGUGAAAAAGGCGCGGAUGACUUGAGGAUAGCGGAGAACCCGAAACCGAGUGAUCUAGCCAUGAGCAGGUUGAAGUAAGGGUAAGACCUUAUGGAGGACCGAACCGACGUACCCGGAAACGUGCGCGGAUGACUUGUGGUUAGCGGAGAAAUUCCAAUCGAACUCGGAUAUAGCUGGUUCUCCCCGAAAUAGGUUUAGGCCUAGCCUUCUAAUUAGUUACCUGGAGGUAGAGCACUGAAUGUAAGAUGGCGGCGUAUAGCUGUACUGAUUGCAAUCAAACUCCGAAUGCCAGGCUAAUAUGUAGAGGAGUCAGUGUAUGGGUGAUAACGUCCAUACGCGAGAGGAAAACAAUCCAGACCGCCAGUUAAGGUCCCAAAAUUUAUGCUAAGUGGGAAAGGAUGUGGAGUCGCUAGAACAGCUAGGAGGUUGGCUUAGAAGCAGCCAUCCUUUAAAGAGUGCGUAAUAGCUCACUAGUCGAGUGGCACUGCGCCGAAGAUGUACCGGGGCUAAAGCAUAAUACCGAAACUGCGGAUUACUUUGUAAUGGUAGGGGAGCGUUCUAAGUGCGCUGAAGGUUGAUCGUAAGGACAGCUGGAGCGCUUAGAAGUGAGAAUGCCGGUAUGAGUAGCGCAAGACGUGUGAGAAUCACGUCCACCGUUUGCCCAAGGUUUCCUGGGUCAAGUUCGUCUUCCCAGGGUUAGUCGGGUCCUAAGGCGAGGCCGAAAGGCGUAGUCGAUGGACAACAGGUUGAUAUUCCUGUACCACCUAUAUGACUGAUGGAGUGACGAAGGAGGCUAACAAGUGCCUGUUAUUGGAUUCAGGUCUAAGCACAAAGGCUUAUAUGUAGGGAAAUCCGCAUAUUGGUAGGCUGAAGUGUGAUGGCGAAAAAAGUAGCAAUACAAUUGAAGACUUGUGACGCCAAACUUCCAAGAAAAGCUUCUAGGGUUAAUUGUAUAGGUGCCCGUACCGAGAACCGCCACAGGUGGGCAAGGAGAGUAUCCUAAGGUGAGCGAGAGAACUAUGGUUAAGGAACUCGGCAAAAUGACCCCGUAACUU